Molecule: small nuclear RNA, 282 nt
Filed under: Mus pahari (shrew mouse)
Lineage: Eukaryota; Metazoa; Chordata; Mammalia; Rodentia; Muridae
Description: sRNA (MGP_PahariEiJ_G0008336.1)
Rfam family: 7SK RNA
About the family: 7SK was discovered as an abundant small nuclear RNA in the mid-70s but a possible function has only recently been suggested. Two independent studies have found that 7SK RNA binds the CDK9/cyclin T complex (known as elongation factor P-TEFb).
Source: RNAcentral
GGAUUGAGGGUGAUCUGACUGUGACGUCUGACUGUCACUCCAUUGAUCAUCAGGGUUGAUGCAUUGCUCUGGCUGGCUAAACAGGUGUCUUCUCCCUCCCUCCCUCCCUCCCUCCCAGGUCCAGCAUUAGAUGACCUCCCUGAUAAAGAAGGUUCACUCUUUGCUCAAGGGUCUAUGAGUAGCCAUGAUCCUCUGCUGAAGCUUCAAAACAAUCCCUCAAACAUUCUGAUACUGCCGUAAGGAUCUGUAGGCUCGUUCAUGGUCAGUCUCUAUGUCACAGAC